AUUGUAACCAUACUUAGAGAGGUUCAUUCAUACAGACACAAUCGCAAGGUAUUGUAACCAUACUUAGAGAGGUCCAUUCAUACAGACACAAUCGCAAGGUAUUGUAACCAUACUUAGAGAGGUUCAUUCAUACAGACACAAUCGCAAGGUAUUGUAACCAUACUUAGAGAGGUACAUUCAUACAGACACAAUCGCAAGGUAUUGUAACCAUACUUAGAGAGGUACAUUCAUACAGACACAAUCGCAAUGUAUUGUAACCAUACUUAGAGAGGUCCAUUCAUACAGACACAAUCGCAAUGUAUUGUAACCAUACUUAGAGAGGUCCAUUAUACUGACACAAUCACAAGGUAUAUAUUGUAACCAUACUUAGAGAGGUCCAUUCAUACAGACACAAUCGCAAGGUAUUGUAACCAUACUUAGAGAGGUACAUUCAUACAGACACAAUCGCAAUGUAUUGUAACCAUACUUAGAGAGGUCCAUUCAUACAGACACAAUCGCAAGGUAUUGUAACCAUACUUAGAGAGGUUCAUUCAUACAGACACAAUCGCAAGGUAUUGUAACCAUACUUAGAGAGGUCCAUUCAUACAGACACAAUCGCAAGGUAUUGUAACCAUACUUAGAGAGGUUCAUUCAUACAGACACAAUCGCAAGGUAUUGUAACCA
Pecten maximus is the source of this 663-nucleotide long non-coding RNA. RefSeq lists it as uncharacterized. The transcript is spliced from 3 exons. Lineage: Eukaryota; Metazoa; Mollusca; Bivalvia; Pectinida; Pectinidae. The record is from RefSeq and is a predicted model, not a curated record.